RNAcentral lists this long non-coding RNA (872 nucleotides) under Marmota monax (woodchuck). The record is from RNAcentral. Lineage: Eukaryota; Metazoa; Chordata; Mammalia; Rodentia; Sciuridae.
ACCCCAGCCCCCCCCCCAAUAAUUUCUUUAAAUAGUAUAUUCCCCACCUUGUGGGCAGUGGUCAAGUUUAGCAGUGGAGGGGCCUGGCGUUUCUGGGGGCAGCCUGAUGGUUCACCUUAUGUGUCGACUUUCCUGAGCUAAAGGUGUCCAGGUAGCUGUUUACGCAUGAUUUCUGGGUGUGUCUUUGAGGGUGUGUCCAGGCGAGAUGAGCAUCUGAGUUGUGGACUGCAGGAAGCAGAGGAACCUUCCCAAUGCAGUGGGAAGAGCAACUAGGCAGAGGAAAGGCAGGGUCUUUCUCUCCUGAGCUGGGACAUUCUUCUCCCUGUUCUUGGGCCUUUGGACUCAGACUGGGACAUAUACCAUUGGCCUUCAGUUCUCCGCCCUUCCGUUUGGGGCAGGAGCUGUAGACUGGCUUUCCUGGAGCUCCAGCUUGCAGGUGGUGGUAGCAGGACUUCUUGGACUCUCUGAUUAUGUGAGCCAAGCCGUCUUUCUAUAUACAGACGGCCCCUGACUUACAGUGGUUUAAAAUACAAUCUUUCAGUUUUACCAGGGCACGAAAGCGAUAUGCGUUCAUUGGAAACCACGCUUGAAAUUUUGAUCUUUUCCUGAGUCAGCACUUUCUGAGCGGACCCUCUCUCAAGAUGCUGUACAGUGAGCCAUAGCUCUGCCAGCCCAGCGACUACAAGGUGAAAUGACCCUCCGUGUGCUGCGCACUGACCCACAGUGUGCUGUGCUGCUCAGCCACGAAGCUCGGGACUCUUACGUGUCAACUGAGCAUGGCUUUACAGGGACAAGACCCCAUGCAGGUUGGGGAGCAGCCCUAUCUGUAUGUGCUCUGUGUCUCUGGAGAUCCCUGGCUAACACACAUUCCC